Long non-coding RNA from Parus major (Great Tit), 597 nucleotides. RefSeq lists it as uncharacterized. The transcript has 3 exons. NCBI's taxonomy places the organism in Eukaryota, Metazoa, Chordata, Aves, Passeriformes, Paridae. The record is from RefSeq and is a predicted model, not a curated record.
GGGCGCGCCUCAGGAAGAGAAGCCACGGACCGUGUGAGGGGAAAGGGUUUAAUGCGAGUUCCCCACGCUCAAACCGUACAGCUCGUUAACGCUCAGCUCCGAACCGGCCCGAGAGCUGCUGUGUAGUUUUCAUGGAUGUACUUUUCUCUCCAGUCCUGCAAUUAGAAGAGAAGCAAACCAGUAAUUUCUGUGGGACCCCUGCUUAAAGAGGUGAUACAGGAGGAGAAAGCUGACAGCAAGCUCUGUGUCUCACCUCCAGAACCCAGGAAGCGUUUUCCAUCUCGCACCUGAGGAUACUUGGCUUCCAACUUUCUGUCAGGAUAGAUGUAAUUCUCAGCUGAGAAAACCACCUUGCUCUUGGCUUGUUUGAACUUCUUCAGCAGUUCUGCGGGGCCUGAAGCAAAGAGUACAUCAUAGCUGGAGAAAGAGACAGACAAAAAGGACAAAAGGAAUGGAGUCAGAAAAACAUGUCAAUGAUAAAAGUUUUUAGAAACAGCUAAUUCUUUGGGAAUCCCUUUCCUUUAGUUCUGUUUAACACUAUUACAUUUUUUGUAAUGCAACUAAUGAAAGUGUAGUCUUAUGCUGGGUAUAUGAAAA